UUGGAGACGGAUUGCCUGGAGGUCGCCAACCUCAGACUCACUCGCCACGACUCUCGCUCGAUCGUGGCUCCUAUCUUAUUAGAAAUUGGAGAGCUUACUGCUAGUUUCAAUUCUUUUGUUAUUUGUCAUAUUGUAAGAUCAGCCAAUGGUCCUGCUUACAUCUGUGCUAAGCAUGCUUGCACGAUUGACGUGACCGAAAGCUGGAUCGAUAGUACUACUAGCUUCCUAAUCAGUAGCCUGUUGGCGGACUGUUCGGCGAACGCUUUUAUUAAAUAA
This 276-nucleotide ribosomal RNA is filed under the name Triticum aestivum (bread wheat). RNAcentral describes it as "partial small subunit ribosomal RNA". Lineage: Eukaryota; Viridiplantae; Streptophyta; Magnoliopsida; Poales; Poaceae. The record is from RNAcentral.